UGGGGAAUUUUGGACAAUGGGCGAAAGCCUGAUCCAGCAAUGCCGCGUGUGUGAAGAAGGCCUUCGGGUUGUAAAGCACUUUUGUCCGGAAAGAAAUCCUUGGCUCUAAUACAGUCGGGGGAUGACGGUACCGGAAGAAUAAGCACCGGCUAACUACGUGCCAGCAGCCGCGGUAAUACGUAGGGUGCAAGCGUUAAUCGGAAUUACUGGGCGUAAAGCGUGCGCAGGCGGUUUGCUAAGACCGAUGUGAAAUCCCCGGGCUCAACCUGGGAACUGCAUUGGUGACUGGCAGGCUAGAGUAUGGCAGAGGGGGGUAGAAUUCCACGUGUAGCAGUGAAAAUGCGUAGAGAUGUGGAGGAAUACCGAUGGCGAAGGCAGCCCCCCUGGGGCCAAUACUGACGCUCAUGCACGAAAGCGUGGGGAGCAAACAGGAUUAGAUACCCUGGUAGUCCACGCCCUAAAACGAUGUCAACUAGUUGUUGGGGGAUUCAUUUUCCUUAGUAACGUAGCUAACGCGUGAAGUUGACCGCCUGGGGAGUACGGUCGCAAGAUUAAAACUCAAAGGAAUUGACGGGGUCAUAGCUGUUUCCU
RNAcentral lists this ribosomal RNA (591 nucleotides) under uncultured bacterium. RNAcentral describes it as "partial 16S ribosomal RNA". It matches the Rfam family "Bacterial small subunit ribosomal RNA", at positions 355 to 1375 of the family's 1533-position model. The record is from RNAcentral.